GGGGCUGUGGGUUAGUGGUAUAGUAUCCCCUUGGCAUGGGAAAAGUCCGGGUCAAUUCCCCGCAGCUCAA
Aspergillus japonicus CBS 114.51 is the source of this 70-nucleotide non-coding RNA. Lineage: Eukaryota; Fungi; Ascomycota; Eurotiomycetes; Eurotiales; Aspergillaceae. The record is from the annotation of a RefSeq genome assembly.